Molecule: transfer RNA, 78 nt
Filed under: Gammaproteobacteria bacterium
Lineage: Bacteria; Pseudomonadati; Pseudomonadota; Gammaproteobacteria
Description: tRNA-Asp
Rfam family: tRNA
About the family: Transfer RNA (tRNA) molecules are approximately 80 nucleotides in length. Their secondary structure includes four short double-helical elements and three loops (D, anti-codon, and T loops).
Source: RNAcentral
GGAGCGGUAGUUCAGUCGGUUUAGAAUACUAGCCUGUCACGCUAGGGGUCGCGGGUUCGAGUCCCGUCCGCUCCGCCA